CCUACGGGGGGCAGCAGUCGAGAAUCAUUCACAAUGGGGGAAACCCUGAUGGUGCGACGCCGCGUGGGGGAAUGAAGGUCUUCGGAUUGUAAACCCCUGUCAUGUGGGAGCAAAUUAAAAAGAUAGUACCCCAAGAGGCAGAGACGGCUAACUCUGUGCCAGCAGCCGCGGUAAUACAGAGGUCUCAAGCGUUGUUCGGCAUCACUGGGCGUAAAGCGUGCGUAGGCUGUUUCGUACGUCGGGUGUGAAAGGCGCGGGCUCAACCCGCGGACGGCACAUGAUACUGCGAGACUAGAGUAAUGGAGGGGGAACCGGAAUUCUCGGUGUAGCAGUGAAAUGCGUAGAUAGCGAGAGGAACACUCGUGGCGAAGGCGGGUUCCUGGACAGUAACUGACGCUGAGGCACGAAGGCCAGGGGAGCGAAAGGGAUUAGAUACCCGUGUAGUC
Molecule: ribosomal RNA, 446 nt
Filed under: uncultured bacterium
Lineage: Bacteria
Description: partial 16S ribosomal RNA
Rfam family: Bacterial small subunit ribosomal RNA
Source: RNAcentral